Long non-coding RNA from Gasterosteus aculeatus aculeatus (three-spined stickleback), 516 nucleotides. The record is from Ensembl. Lineage: Eukaryota; Metazoa; Chordata; Actinopteri; Perciformes; Gasterosteidae.
CCCCCCCCCUCUUCUCUCCCCUCCCCACCCGCCACGCUGGAAGCCUCCUGUGUGGAAGGACAGGUCCAUCAGACCACGUCCAUGUGCAGUUAUGGUUUCAGACGCAGCUCUAUGCUGCUGCGUGUAUUAAGGCCUUUAUUGUCAGCAUGAGUCAGCAAAUUUGACUCUUCAUUAGACGUGUGCGGAUGGUUUCCUGUGUCGCUGUUUAACAGCUGACCUCUGGUGAAGGAGUCCAGUUUAUACGUGUGACGGUGCUUCCAGUUCGAUCAGGCAUUCAGUUUCUUUCAACCCAUUUUUUAGUCAAUAGCUGCAUUAUGUCUGAUAAGUGGCUGUCUGGUGUUUUUUCAUGGCUGACAUUUCAUAGCAUAAAAAGAACAGGAGAGGAACAGCUGCACUCCAUGUCCCUCAUGACCGUGAGCCGUGCUAUACGGCUCGGCGGCGCCCCACCUCUGGAGUGGUCCGUCGCUGUUGCUGGGACUUUGUGAUUCCCCUCCUCGCCUCCCCCAUCCCGUCCCA